ACGCUCGACACCUACGGGAGGCAGCAGUGGGGAAUAUUGCACAAUGGGGGAAACCCUGAUGCAGCGACGCCGCGUGAGCGAAGAAGUAUUUCGGUAUGUAAAGCUCUAUCAGCAGGGAAGAAGAAAGACGGUACCUGACUAAGAACGCCCGGCUAACUACGUGCCACAGCCGCGGUAAUCUGAGCGGGNUGGCAAGGC
This 198-nucleotide ribosomal RNA is filed under the name uncultured bacterium. RNAcentral's name for it is "partial 16S ribosomal RNA". It matches the Rfam family "Bacterial small subunit ribosomal RNA", at positions 328 to 539 of the family's 1533-position model. The record is from RNAcentral.